Non-coding RNA from Phrynosoma platyrhinos (Desert horned lizard), 71 nucleotides. The record is from the annotation of a GenBank genome assembly. Lineage: Eukaryota; Metazoa; Chordata; Lepidosauria; Squamata; Phrynosomatidae.
GCCAGCAUGGUGUAGUGGUUUGAGCAUUGGACUAUGACUCUGGAGACCAGGGUUCGAAUCCUUGCUUGGCC